ACGCAGUCUGCUGGCUGACCUUCAUCCCUCAGAUCUCUGACCAGAACAUGAGCUUUGGCUGUGAGGUGCAGAACACAGCCCUGCUGAAGCCCAUCUUAGAGGAGUUCACGCUGCACAUCCCAGUGGAUUCUACCCUGACAACGUGUCUAUUCUCUGGAUCCAGAAUGGAAAGGUUCUUCCUAACUGUACUUUGUCCGUCCAGAAUGAGGAAGGAAUGUACGGGAGACAUCAGUAUCUCACCCUGAGUGCGGAGGAGAGGAGCAGAGGAGGAGAGGUGCAGUGUGUGGCCAGCCACCUGAUGUGAAAGAACCUGCCUUUGGAACUAUUGACCUCUCCGCCGUUGACCCACAAGAGAAGCUGAAGUCUCUGAACAUCUCAGCGAUUGUUCUGCCCCCCAGGGUGGUUGUGAGUAAGAAAGGCAGAGUCACCAUCAGUGUGGAAGGCAGGUUGGCAGAGAGAGUACAGACCACAUGGUUUCUCAAUGAUGUCCCCAUUACAGACACUGCAUACAGAGAGAAAAAAUAUGGUCCUUUUUGCUUGGCAGCCUAUACUCCUCACAGCUCUCAUGUGUCUUUGGUGUCGGAGAAAAGCUCUCUGCUGCCCUCUGCUGCUGCCUCAGGAUAUUACAAGCUGCACACUCAGAUGUUGCCAUGCUUGUUCUCCUGCUCCAUGAAGCAGCUGUUCUCCUCCGUCACAUUUAUAACAAACCUGUCCAUUCACAAGGGUGCAGUUUUCAAAUGCCACAUCUCGUAUAAGGGCAAAGACAAGCUUGUGGCCAAGAGAGUUUCCGACAAGUUUACUAUUCAAGCACCACCUGAAGUUUCAUUGAUCCAGUUCUCAGAGUCAAAUGAGGAAGGAGGUGCAGUAUGACAAACAGUGCACACAUUAAAAUAGUGCAAACGAUGUAAAUGCAUCAUUACAGAAGGUUUUCUCUCCCCAGGCGUUGUGACCAUGAUGGCCCAGGCCUCUGGCUUUCAUCCGGACAUCACCACCUUCCGCUGGUUCUGUGAGGGCAGCGAGCUGAGCCCCGUGUCUGUCCCGCAGGUGCUGGCGGCCCCUCGGCCAGAUGCUGCAGGCUUCUUCUCUUCUUCUGCAGGCCCCCGCCGCAGAGCUGGAGCGAGGGGAGACCCAGGUGUGGGUCACUGUCCACCACACGGCCCUCAAACAGCGCCUCACACACCAGACUAGAGGUGACAUAACUGAGCACUUGUGAUU
This is a long non-coding RNA of Cyprinus carpio (common carp), 1215 nucleotides long. Lineage: Eukaryota; Metazoa; Chordata; Actinopteri; Cypriniformes; Cyprinidae. The record is from Ensembl.